This 4158-nucleotide long non-coding RNA is filed under the name Hordeum vulgare. RNAcentral describes it as "long non-coding RNA (HVUL_LNC000088)". Lineage: Eukaryota; Viridiplantae; Streptophyta; Magnoliopsida; Poales; Poaceae. The record is from RNAcentral.
UUUGAAUAGUGCAUCUCCUUUAUUUGCUGAAAAUUUAACAGAUUUUCUUUCUCUUCUUUCUAGCAGUAUAGAUUACAUCUGAAUGUGCAUCUUCAUGACAUGAUGCUAACACUACCGUCGAUGUUGUAAACAAAAUUCAGAGGCAUUCACACUCCUUAAACAUUGGUACAACUAUACAAAAUUCAGAGGUAUUCACACUCCUUAAACAUUGGUACAUCUGUACCACCCAAUUAGGAACCUUAAUAAGGACUGAAACCUAGGAUUAAUCGACAGGAUAACGGCUGUAAUCUGGACCAUCCUCUGUCACAAUCACCAUGGCUGUUUUGGGGAACAAAAGACUUGGUUUACAUCGACACCACAGCUCACGACUCAGUUUAACAACACCCCCGUCCUCCCCCUCCUCCUCAAGGCUUCUGAUCUGAUCCUGCUGCUGCUUCUUGAUAACCAAAAGCUAGAUGAGGAGCCUGCUGCAAGUAAAAAGGAACAAUGGUAUUAGGCGCAUCGUAGAUUCAAAAUCGCCUUGAGAAGUACCGGAGGGUGAGUCCUUUUUUCUGUUAUUGAUGCUAUAUAUUCUAGGUUUAACCGGGUAAAAUAGUUAUGCUCGUUUCCACAAUCGUCCGGGAAAUUUCUUUUUCAUCAGUAUAUGGCAUGCCAAAACAAUCAUAAGCUGAAGUUGAGGAGGAACAAAGAAAAAGUGCUCCCGAGCAGGAUUCCGUUUUAUGGACAGCCGACAACAAUUGGAGUCUGGAUCACUCCAGAUUGUGGCAGAUGAGCAUGUGAACCAAAAUUUAUCUCACAUGAAUGAGUAGCUUUCCUUUUCCUUUUUUUUUGUGCGUGCAGCUAGGCAACAAGCUGAUUCAUCUGCUGUGGUACAAAGAAGAAUCACAUGCGUCUUGUCCAGUUCUGCCAGGACGAUAUAAUCCUCCAUUUGAAGUGGGAAUAGGAAGAAGUGGGGGUUUCCGGAAUGGCGGUUGAAGCUCUCCUUGACGAUCUGGACACCGUCGCAGCAGCCGAGCAACCACACGACGGCGCUUCCUCUUCCCAGCAGCAGCUCACCGUGGACAGCUACGGCCUGAGUGGGCCACUGUUCCUGGCGCAGCCAACAACCACUGCAGCAAGCACAUAUCUGCAUGCUGCAGUCACCAGCCCUGGGCUGUGCAGCGUCAACAGCAGCCUUGGAGAAAACCAAUUUCAGAUUGCCGCAGGGGGUAGCCCUGAGCACCGCAGGAUCAGAUCAAACGAUGCGCUUCACUACAUAAGCCAGAUGCUGAUGGAGGACGUCGACGAGGCACCGGUCGGCGUGUGCCAAGAGGAGGCUGCUGCUCUCCAGGCCGCCGAGAAGCCAUUCCGUGACAUCCUUGGGCCGGUAUACCCGCCGGCUACUAACUGGCAACAAUUGCAUAGCAGCAAUGGAACAGGUAACUCUGGUAAGAGCUGGACCAGCCGUUACAAGAGGCUCUGGAGCACUAGCUUCGGUGAUAACGACUGUUCCAGUUACAGCGUGUUACAGCCCUUAACAACAUACCCGUUGAGUCUAUAUACCUGCAAUAGGAGUCUUCUUUCUCUGCAAAAACGUCCGUUGAUAAGUGUUGGGCCGACAUGUAGAUCUGGUUUCCCCGCCUUGCAUCGUCAGAGAGGAGGCGUCGAGGAGGCACCGACUGUUGCUCCAAGUAUUGAUAAGCUGGUGAUAUGUUUAGAGAAUGGCAUACUUUCUAUCACCAGACUGACCACAAAGGCGAAAGUAGGAGGGAGGAGCGAAAAUGCAAUUUUUGAGGUGGCAGACCCAAGGGAGGAGUGGGAUGUCUUGGAAAGAAGGAGCAACAAACAUCUUGCCUUCACCGCUUGUGCAAUAAUUCGAAAUGAAAAUUUCGACCGGAUUCUGCUAUGCUAUGGUCGGAAGAGUUUGGGACAAAUAGCAAGACCACAAAGAGGGAUGAUGGCAGAGGAAGGCAACAAGAGCUCGAUGAAAGGCCGGAGCAAAGGAGGUCAGAAGGUAUGGCAGAGGAAGCAACCGAGGAGAGAGUUGGUUGAUCUCAGGACUCUCCUCGUCCAUUGCGCACAAGCUAUGGCAGAACAUGACCACCUGUUGGCCAGUGACCUCCUAAAGAAGAUAAGGCAACACUCCUCAGCAGAUGGUGAUUGUACUCAGAGACUGGCAUUUUACUUGGCGGAUGGCCUCGAGGCACGCUUGGCUGGGAUCGGGAGUCAGGUUUAUCGCAACCUCAUGGAGAGGCGAACAAGUAGCACCGAUUGGUUAGAUGCUUGCAGCCAUUUUCUUGCAUCCUGCCCUUUCGACAGGACGUCACACUACUUUGCCAGCCAAGCAAUUCUUGAUGUUUCACAAGGGCAACCAAGGGUGCACAUCGUUGAUUUCGGUAUCGGCUUCGGCCUUCAAUGGCCAUUAAUGAUUCAGAGGUUCUCACUGCAAGAAGAGGGAGCCCCUAAGCUUCGGAUCACAGGUAUAGACGUUCCCCAGCCAGGUUUCCACCCCUGCGAAAUGAUUGAGGAGACAGGGAAGCGGUUGGCUGAUUAUGCACACAUGUUCAAGGUACCUUUUCAGUAUCAGGGCAUUGCCGCCUCAAGAUGGGAUACCAUUAAAAUUCAGGAUCUUAACAUCGACGAGGAUGAAGUUCUGAUAAUCAACUGCAUGUUCCGGAUGAAGAAUCUUGGUCAUGACACCGAAGCUGUAAAUAGUAGGGAUAAGGUGCUCAAAACUAUGAGGAGGAUGAAGCCAAAGAUUUUUAUUUCUGGCAUAGUGAACGGGUUACGCAGUUCUCCCUUCUUCAUACAACGUUUCAAAGAGGUCAUGUUCCAUUACUCUUCAAUGUUUGACAUGCUUGAUGCAAAUGUUCAACGGGAUAAUAAAGCAAGGAAGUUGAUUGAGAAGAUCCUAUUUGGGCAGGAUGCACUUAACAUCAUAGCAUGUGAAGGCGCAGAGAGAACUGAGAGGCCGGAGAGUUACAGGCAGUGGCAAGCAAGGUGCCUCAAGGCUGGGUUCCAGCAGCUUCCCGUCGAUCCAGCCAUCUUAAAGAACAUAGUACAAAUGAAGAACCCACUUUCUCAUGAGGAAUUCUUCGUUAAUGAAGAUUGCGGUUGGCUGCUACAAGGAUGGAAAGGGAGAGUACUUUAUGCUGUUUCUAAAUGGAAACCUAAUGAAACAUAUGAUGAUAAGUAACAUUCAAACACUUUUACCUUUCCAGAGAUUACAUGUGAAAUGAUGCAUGAUUAGGUACUUUAUGCUGUUGACGACGUCGCUGUUCAAGUUUCCGGCAAAGGCCACAGUGGCCAACAACUCUGUUUUACCUUUUCGAAUAUUUCUUUGACACUUACUCGCAUGUGGCUAGACUGACCACAAUUAAGCCCCUACCCCUAAGUUCUAGUGCCCCUCUUUUUUUCGUUUUCUUUUUUCUUUCUUUAUGGAUUUUCAGUCGGUUUUCCCUAAUUAGCCGACAAUGUUAGGUUUUCGGGUCCGGUUUUUCCUUAUAAACCAGACCAACUCUCUUCUUCUUAAUGAAAUGCAGGAACCCCUGCCCCCUCUUGAGGUGUCCUAAAAAAAUAAAUAAAUUAAGCACUAUUAUCUUUGUCUGCCUCAAAUGCUAAUCUCCUUCUUCUGGUAGUAUAGAUGGAAUUUGAAUCCAGACAUGCAUUUUCAUGACACGAUAACUUCUUUAAAGACUUAUAUUUAGGAACGGAGGGAGUAUAUGAUAAUUUCUGAUUUGAAGACGGCAAUUCUACUUUAACAUAAGUGGAAUCCAAUAGAAUGCGCUGAUAUUCACACAUCACAAAUAAGUGGAGUUCCAACUUGUGUACUUCAGUCCAUGUCUUUUGAUCAUUCAGAUUGGAAAUUUGAAGAUCAUGUGCAUAGAUUUCCUUCUUUCUCAAAGCAUACGUGGACGAGAUUAGGUGGUGAGCUCCUAGCAGAUCACUAGGGCCACAGCGACACGGGGAAUCAAAUCAGAGAGGGAGAGGGGGGAGGGACCUUGGAGACCGAGGUGGGCGAGGGGAAGAGGCCCUACGCGUCGUCUUCGUUCGCUUACGCCGCCGCCGGCGACCUCUCCUGGCGGCCAUGGAGAGAGAGGCCACGGAGGGAGAACAGAAUUCCGCCUUCGUAAAGCGUUUACGCACUAACGGAUGUGCUGAGUCGUGUUUUAACUGGAC